This 1637-nucleotide long non-coding RNA is filed under the name Homo sapiens (human). RNAcentral's name for it is "HSALNT0112541". The record is from RNAcentral. Lineage: Eukaryota; Metazoa; Chordata; Mammalia; Primates; Hominidae.
GGAAGUUGAAAUUCAAAUUCUACAAGUGAUAGGAAACCACUGAAGAUAUUUUAGCAGGGUUGCGAUGUCAUCUGAAGUUUUCCUUAGGACUUGAAGACAAGAGAAUGAGGGCGGUAAGAGAAGAAAAUAAGUGCAACAUGCCAGAAAUCCAGUAAAGCAGUUCAAGUAUCAGAAGAGCGUGAAUCAAAACCAAGUGCAAGAAGAGGCACCUUGACAUUGAACUGAAGGCCACCAGGUACUCACUGGGUCAAUGACUCUUCUCAUUUUUAUUCUCCUGCCAGUGCUUCCAAUCGCUGAACUGAACUGGGAACAAAUCAACAAGGGAAACCAAGAGAUGCAUUCCUUGAAGUUCAGCCUCCAGGCCUCAAGUAAGGCAGAGGAAGAGAAUACAUAGAUCUGUGGAGAAGAGUGGUGAUGGUGGGAGCUGCCAAUAAAGAACUAUCAAAAAAGACGAAGUCUUUGUCGUCCAGGCUAGAGUGCAGCUGUGUGAUCUCAGCUCAUUGUAACCUCCACCUCCUGAUACAAGCAAUUCUUCUGCCUCAGCCUCCUGAGUAGGUGGGACUACAGGAUGAUGCAACAGAAAAGCCGUCACCAGAUACCAGCACCUUAAUGUUGGACUUCUCAGCCUCCAGAACUGUAAGAAAUAAAUCCCUGUUCUUUAUAAAUUACCCAGUCUCAGGUAUCCUGCUAUAGCAGCACAAAAUGGACUAUGAUAGAAAAUUGGUAUGAAGGAGUAGUACCAUUGUUAUAACAAAUACCUAAAAAUGGAAGCCACUCUGGAACUGGGUAAGGGGUAGAGUAUGGAAGAAUUUAGAGGAGCAGGCUAGAAAAAGCCUAAAUUGCUGUGUAUUACUCCAGGAUGGUAAGAAAUAAAUCUCUGUUCUUUAUAAAUUGCCCAGACUCACAGCACAAAACAAAUUAAGACAUUAAGAUUUGCCCCAUUCUUAGAAUUCAUUUCUUCCAUUUUCCCUUUAAUUAAAUCAAUGCCAGCAUCUAAGCAGUGUGCACCUUUUGACCAUAGUCUUUCUAAUUGACCAGAAGCUUAGAUGUGGAAAAUGCAAAAACUAUGCACAUUUCUGAUGGGUUUAACUUCUGAGAAAUUUUUACAAGGUUUUCCUUAUUUUAUCUGCUCCAGUAAACCUGUGGUUUCAUGAACAGGCCUAGAAUUUGAGAUUCAGCUUCUAAACUUCAAAGGUGACCUUUCAACCCAUUUGUUUAUAGACUCGGUAUUAACCUUUUGAGUUCUAGAAUAGGGUUUUAGAACUUACUUUCAUAAAAGUUUAUAUAGUCAAUUCCAUUCAUUUAUGCUAAGGACAUAGAAUAUUUCUAGAUUGCACAAUAUGUUUCUGUGGGAAUUGAAUGGAAAUCCAGGUUUCCUGACAAGAAACAAAGGAUCUUUGGGAGGCCGAGACAGGCGGAUCACGAGGUCAGGAGAUCGAGACCAUCCUGGCUAACACGGUGAAACCCCGUCUCUACUAAAAAUACAAAACUUAGCCGGGCAUGGUGGCGUGCGCCUGUAGUCCCAGCUACACGGGAGGCUGAGGCAGGAGAAUGGUGUGAACCCGGGAGGCGGAGCUUGCAGUGAGUCGAGAUCACGCCACUGCACUCCAGCCUGGGUGACAGAGCGAGACUCCGUC